Molecule: ribosomal RNA, 270 nt
Filed under: uncultured archaeon
Lineage: Archaea
Description: partial 16S ribosomal RNA
Rfam family: Archaeal small subunit ribosomal RNA
Source: RNAcentral
CAGCUCUCCGAGUAGUGUGGAUGUUUAUUGGGCCUAAAGCAUCCGUAGCUUGCUAAGCAAGUCCCCUGUUAAAUCCACCGAUUCAAUCGAUGGUUUGCGGGGGAUACUGUUUGGCUAGGGGACGGGAGAGGUCGACGGUAUUUCCGGGGUAGGGGUGAAAUCCUAUAAUCCCGGGAGGACCACCAGUGGCGAAGGCUGUCGACUAGAACGCGCCCGACAGUGAGGGAUGAAAGCUGGGGGAGCGAACCGGAUUAGAUACCCGAGUAGUCC